Molecule: ribosomal RNA, 119 nt
Filed under: Varanus komodoensis (Komodo dragon)
Lineage: Eukaryota; Metazoa; Chordata; Lepidosauria; Squamata; Varanidae
Source: RNAcentral
GUCUAUGGCCAUACUACCCUGGAAGUGUCUGAUCCCGUCUGGUCUUAGAAGCUAAGCAGGGUCCAGCCUGGUUAGUACUUGGAUGGGAGAGCUCAUGGUAGUCCUGGGUGCUGUAGGCU